AGAGUUUGAUCCUGGCUCAGGAUGAACGCUAGCGGCAGGCUUAAUACAUGCAAGUCGUGGGGCAGCACAGGUAGCAAUACUGGGUGGCGACCGGCAAACGGGUGCGGAACACGUACGCAACCUUCCUUUAAGCGGGGAAUAGCCCAGGGAAACUUGGAUUAAUACCCCAUAAGACAGUGGGAUGGCAUCAUCCAGCUGUUAAAGCUCCGGCACUUAAAGAUGGGCGUGCGGCUGAUUAGGUAGUUGGCGGGGUAAUAGCCCACCAAGCCGACGAUCAGUAACUGGUGUGAGAGCACGACCAGUCACACGGGCACUGAGACACGGGCCCGACUCCUACGGGAGGCAGCAGUAAGGAAUAUUGGUCAAUGGACGCAAGUCUGAACCAGCCAUGCCGCGUGGAGGAUGAAGGCCCUCUGGGUUGUAAACUUCUUUUAUUGGGGAAGAAACCCAUCUUUUCUAAGGUGGUUGACGGUACCCAUUGAAUAAGCACCGGCUAACUCCGUGCCAGCAGCCGCGGUAAUACGGAGGGUGCAAGCGUUAUCCGGAUUCACUGGGUUUAAAGGGUGCGUAGGUGGGUAGGUAAGUCAGUGGUGAAAUCUCCAAGCUUAACUUGGAAACUGCCGUUGAUACUAUUUAUCUUGAAUAUAGUGGAGGUGAGCGGAAUAUGUCAUGUAGCGGUGAAAUGCUUAGAUAUGACAUAGAACAUCGAUUGCGAAGGCAGCUCGCUACACUAUUAUUGACACUGAGGCACGAAAGCGUGGGGAUCAAACAGGAUUAGAUACCCUAGUAGUCC
Molecule: ribosomal RNA, 793 nt
Filed under: uncultured bacterium
Lineage: Bacteria
Description: bacterial SSU rRNA
Rfam family: Bacterial small subunit ribosomal RNA
Source: RNAcentral